UCAUAUAUAUUAUAAAAUUAUAAAAAUUGAAAUUAUAUAGGGAAGAUUUGCAUGGUCCUUGGACAAGGAUGACAUACAAAUACAUAAAAAAUAAAAUUACCUA
Antechinus flavipes (yellow-footed antechinus) is the source of this 103-nucleotide small nuclear RNA. The record is from RefSeq and is a predicted model, not a curated record. Lineage: Eukaryota; Metazoa; Chordata; Mammalia; Dasyuromorphia; Dasyuridae.